This 17-nucleotide non-coding RNA is filed under the name Mus musculus (house mouse). The record is from RNAcentral. Lineage: Eukaryota; Metazoa; Chordata; Mammalia; Rodentia; Muridae.
UCUGAGGGACUCUCCCU